UUGAGGCCUUAAAGUACUGUACCAGCACAUCAUGGUUUACAUACUACAGUAAAGAUGCGAAUCAUUAUUUGCUGCUCUAGAAAUUUAAGGAAAUUCAU
Molecule: microRNA precursor, 98 nt
Filed under: Vicugna pacos (alpaca)
Lineage: Eukaryota; Metazoa; Chordata; Mammalia; Artiodactyla; Camelidae
Description: microRNA 15b (ENSVPAG00000015933.1)
Rfam family: mir-15 microRNA precursor family (bases 7-90)
About the family: This family represents the related mir-15a and mir-15b sequences. In humans miR-15a and miR-16 are clustered within 0.5 kb at 13q14. This region has been shown to be deleted in more than half of B cell chronic lymphocytic leukaemias (CLL).
Source: RNAcentral